This 1204-nucleotide long non-coding RNA is filed under the name Homo sapiens (human). RNAcentral's name for it is "HSALNT0111730". The record is from RNAcentral. Lineage: Eukaryota; Metazoa; Chordata; Mammalia; Primates; Hominidae.
GAGGGCUGUGAGGACUGCCAGCAUGCUGUCACCUCUCAGUAUAAUUUAAGAUCAACCCUAAUUGAAAAUACUAUAUUUUGAAGAAUCAGGCAAAACUACUUUGAAUUUUAUAUGGAACCAUAAAAGAGCCCAUAUAGCGAAGACAAGCCUAAGCAAAAAGAAAAAAGCUGGAGGCAUCAUGCUACCUGACUUCAAACUACACUACAAGGCUUCAGUAACCAAAAGAGCGUGGUACUGGUACCAAAACAGAUAUAUAGACCAAUGGAACAGAACAGCAGCCUCAGAAGUAACACCACACAUCUACAACCAUCUGGUCUUCGACAAACCUGACCAAAAAAAAAAAAAAAAAAAAAAGCAAUGGGGAAAGGAGUCCCUAGUUAAUAAAUGGUGUUGGGAAAACUGGCUAGCCAUAUGCAGAAAACAGAAACUGAACCCCUUCCUUACACCUUAUCCAAAAAUUAAUUCUAGAUGGAUUAAAGACUUAAACGUAAAACCUAAAACCAUAAAAACCCUAGAAGAACACCUAGGCAAUACCAUUCAGGACACAGGCAUGGGCAAAGACUUAAUGACUAAAACAUCAAAAGCAAUUGCAACAAAGCCGAAAUUGACAAAUGGGAUCUAAUUAAAGUAAAGAGCUUCUGCUCAGCAAAAGAAACUAUCAUCAGAGUGAACAGGCAACCUACAGAAUGAGAGAAAAAUUUUUCAAUCUACCCCUCUGACAAAGGUGUAAUAUCCAGAAUUUACAAGAAACUUAAACAAAUUUACAAGAAAAAAACAAACAACCCCAUCAAAAAGUGGACGAAGGAUAUGAACAGACAUCUCUCAAAAGAAGACAUUAUGCGGCCAAAAAACCUAUGAAAAAAAGCUCAUCAUCACUGGUCAUUAGAGAAAUGCAAAUCAAAACUACAAUGAGAUACCAUCUCAUGCCGGUUAGAAUGGUGAUCAUUAAAACGUCUGGAAACAAUAGAUGCUGGUGAGGAGAUGAGAACACAUGGACACAGGGAGGGGAACAUUACACACCGGGGCCUGUUGGGAGGUGGAAAGAAAGGGGAGGGAGAGUAUUAGACAAAUACCUAAUGCAUGUGGGGCUUAAAAGCUAGAUGAUGGGUUGAUAGGUGCAGCAAACCACCAUGGUACAUGUAUACCCAUGUAACAAACCUGCACGUUCAGCACAUGUAUCCCAGAAGUUAAAGUAAACUAGAAU